UACGGAGUUAGCCGAUCCUUAUUCUUACGAUACCGUCAAGCUACUUCACGAAGUAGUGUUUCUUCUCGUAUAAAAGCAGUUUACAAUCCAUAGGACCGUCAUCCUGCACGCGGCAUGGCUGGAUCAGGCUUGCGCCCAUUGUCCAAUAUUCCUCACUGCUGCCUCCCGUAGGAGUCUGGUCCGUGUCUCAGUACCAGUGUGGGGGAUCUCCCUCUCAGGACCCCUACCCAUCGUAGCCUUGGUAACGCCGUUACCUUACCAACUAGCUAAUGGGACGCAUGCUCAUCUUUUACCGUUGUUGACUUUAAUAUAAUCUCGAUGCCGAGUCUAUAUACUAUGAGGUAUAAUCCAAAUUUCUCUGGCUAUCCCUCUGUAAAAGGUAGAUUGCAUACGCGUUACGCACCCGUGCGCCGGUCUCUCUAUCCGAAGAUAAAUACCCCUCGACUUGCAUGUGUUAAGCCUGCCGCUAGCGUUCAUCCUGAGCCAGGAUCAAAC
RNAcentral lists this ribosomal RNA (495 nucleotides) under uncultured Flavobacterium sp. RNAcentral's name for it is "partial 16S ribosomal RNA". Lineage: Bacteria; Pseudomonadati; Bacteroidota; Flavobacteriia; Flavobacteriales; Flavobacteriaceae. The record is from RNAcentral.